AGGGUUAUAGCUCAGUGGUAGAACUUGUGCUUAGCAUGCACGAGGUCCCGGGUUCAAUCCUCAGUACCUCCG
This 72-nucleotide transfer RNA is filed under the name Camelus bactrianus (Bactrian camel). It matches the Rfam family "tRNA". Rfam says of the family: Transfer RNA (tRNA) molecules are approximately 80 nucleotides in length. Their secondary structure includes four short double-helical elements and three loops (D, anti-codon, and T loops). Further hydrogen bonds mediate the characteristic L-shaped molecular structure. tRNAs have two regions of fundamental functional importance: the anti-codon, which is responsible for specific mRNA codon recognition, and the 3' end, to which the tRNAs corresponding amino acid is attached (by aminoacyl-tRNA synthetases). tRNAs cope with the degeneracy of the genetic code in two manners: having more than one tRNA (with a specific anti-codon) for a particular amino acid; and 'wobble' base-pairing, i.e. permitting non-standard base-pairing at the 3rd anti-codon position. RNAcentral also lists the same sequence under 1 other name. Lineage: Eukaryota; Metazoa; Chordata; Mammalia; Artiodactyla; Camelidae. The record is from Rfam by way of RNAcentral.